UUCUUUGUAAUCCUAUUUAUUUUAUGUUCUUAAAAAAGUUAUUUUUUUUUAUUUCAUUAAGACUUUAUUGCAGUGGAAAAUGGAGCAGCCCCUCAACUGGAGCCAUCCUUGUCAUGGCCUAGGAGGUGGGGGAGGGAGAGAUGCCAGUGAAGAUGUGUCUCUGGGGGAUACUCUGAUCCCUGAGGUUCAAGGCAGAGAGAAAAUGGUCUCUACCCAGGAGAUAUGGAUCAGCUCAGGAAGCUCUAUGGAACUAUUAAAUGCCACUUUUAAUCAUGGAAUGCUUCUACUAGCCAGCAACAGUAUCAACAAUCAGGAAGUACCAGAUGCCUUAACCACUUUAAGGAUCUCUGAUUCUACCAGUGUCAGUACUCUGUACACCAGUGAAGAUCACAACUCUCUCAUGCCUUAGGAAAUGGUCGUCAAGAAUCCUGUAGCUAAAAGAAGAACAAAAGCGGAUAGCCAACCCCAUGCCAACUUUUUGCUACACUAAGCUAGACUGGCCCCCAGGCUUUAGAGUCUUGUGAAAGGGCCUGUUCUCAGUCUUUCCACCUUAAUAGGACAGACCAAAGUAUUUCCUCAGCUGGAAGAGAACAAACAUUACCUACAAGGUGAUAUCAUGUCAUGUUGGUGAGGAAAUAUAUGAAGACUCCAUAUGGUGAGACAUUAAAAUGUCAGUUUUGUCUUUUGUUUUUGUAUCCCCAGCUCCUAGCAUAUUGCCUGGGAUAUAGCAAUUGGUUAAUAAAUGGUUUUGCUGAUUUAAUGUAUUAUUAU
This 771-nucleotide long non-coding RNA is filed under the name Phascolarctos cinereus (koala). RNAcentral's name for it is "lncRNA (ENSPCIG00000013231.2)". Lineage: Eukaryota; Metazoa; Chordata; Mammalia; Diprotodontia; Phascolarctidae. The record is from RNAcentral.